Syzygium oleosum is the source of this 1021-nucleotide long non-coding RNA. RefSeq lists it as uncharacterized. NCBI's taxonomy places the organism in Eukaryota, Viridiplantae, Streptophyta, Magnoliopsida, Myrtales, Myrtaceae. The transcript has 2 exons. The record is from RefSeq and is a predicted model, not a curated record.
GAAUCCUCAUUCUUUGUACAUUUUACUCUACUUUCUUUACUUUGUGCAUAUUCUCUUAUACUCAAUUAAUUAACCGUUGUCUUCAACUUACAAGUAUUUUGUCAGACUUAAACUUGGUAUCUUGGCAUCCAACAUUUGUCACACUAAUUGGCAUGGAACUCUAUUGGUGGUUGACAUAUUUUCACAUCAUAUCUCUGCUUGUGGAGUUAGUACUCCAGGAAAGAUGGUUCAAUCAUCCAUUCUGAAAGGGAUGUUCCCUCCUGGAAAGAAUAUUAGAGCCUGAGAAGAAUUACAAUAGCAGUUGAUAAAAGCAAAACGGGGAUCUGACUGGUACAGUCUCUUUGUCUUGCCUGCCAUGGAAUGCCUAAUGUAGGAGGACUUCCGUGAUCUCUCCAAAAGAGAAGAUUCUGCGCAUCGGUAGUCGAGUUCACUAAGCUAUAUUGGGUACUGAACUGCGGCAAACUGCUGAGCUGUUGCGACAAUUGACCUCUCUGACAGUUCUAUGAUCCUUCUGCUUUAACACCUCAAGAAUGCAAGUAUUCGGGAGUCAUGGUGUUGCCUCUCUAACAGAAUGCUGUGGAGUCCUGUACGUUUGCUGGAGUAAUCCUGAUUUGGCGAAAUCUUUACUUCACGUAGAUCAGCAUCUCAGCAUUCAGGGGCUGCACAAAAUGCCUUUCUAAGAGGUGAUCAUUCUUCUGCACAGCAUCACUCUCUAAAGGCUCGGGAGGAAUGGUUGGUUGCUGAAAGACUCAAAUGACAGUGCAGCCAAGGACAUCCUAAGUAUCAGGAACAGCAACAACGUUAUAUGGACAUUGGACUUGCAUGGUCUUCACAAAACCGAAGCUAUUCAAGCCUUGAAAGAACGUCUGUGGAAACUCGAAUAGUAGUAAACUUUCAUAUUAAGAUUGAAUUGAGAUCACGCUGAAAAAAUAGAGCAUGCGACUCCCAACCAAUUUUGGGUAUUUGAAUCACGCGAGCAACCAAAAUGAGGAUUUCUUGGAUUUCAAUGACAAAAGAGAUU